Long non-coding RNA from Catharus ustulatus (Swainson's thrush), 580 nucleotides. RefSeq lists it as uncharacterized. The transcript has 4 exons. The record is from RefSeq and is a predicted model, not a curated record. Lineage: Eukaryota; Metazoa; Chordata; Aves; Passeriformes; Turdidae.
AUAAUCACAGCCACUAUCAGAGGACUGCUUCUUACAACAUCCAGAGUAAGGAGGGAGCCAGCCCUCUGUGGCUCACCAGUUCUCCAAGGAGCAACAGGAACCAGACCACAGCUUGGGCACCUCAGCAGGCUCUUCUGAAAGGAGCAUCAGACAGAGUAUUAAAGAAGGGUGUGUUCUCACAGCUGCCCAGCACUAUCAACACUAACCAGCAAGAUGAUCUGGAUUUCUGCAGCCUUGUGCCAGAUGGCCCCUGACUCCAGUCUUCAUUGCAGCUAAGGAAGGUGAGACAGAUUCUCACAGAGUGACUAUCCCUGUGUCAUCCUGUACAUCAAUGUCAGAGCAGAGAUGAGAAGUCAGAAGUUGGUGACUGCAAGCCCUGAGCUCAUGGCAUGGGUCCUAAGAAACAAACCCCUUAUGAGAGGCUGCUGGAAAAAUGAGGAAGCCCUGGCUAAGGGCCAACAUGGCAUGAACACAGAAGAAAUUAAGCAGAAAGUGGCAAAAGAGUCAGGAGCUGCUGGCUGGCUCUGGAUGAAGUGCAGGUCCAGCAGCAUUGGGCUGAAGAUUUGCCCUUUCCCCUUGC